This 366-nucleotide RNase P RNA is filed under the name Catenovulum agarivorans DS-2. RNAcentral's name for it is "Bacterial RNase P class A". It matches the Rfam family "Bacterial RNase P class A". Rfam says of the family: Ribonuclease P (RNase P) is a ubiquitous endoribonuclease, found in archaea, bacteria and eukarya as well as chloroplasts and mitochondria. Its best characterised activity is the generation of mature 5'-ends of tRNAs by cleaving the 5'-leader elements of precursor-tRNAs. Cellular RNase Ps are ribonucleoproteins. The record is from Rfam by way of RNAcentral. Lineage: Bacteria; Pseudomonadati; Pseudomonadota; Gammaproteobacteria; Alteromonadales; Alteromonadaceae.
AAAGACAGCUGGGCAAUCGCUGCCUCAUUUUUUGAGGGGGAGGAAAGUCCGGGCUCCAAUGGGCAGAGUGCCAGAUAACGUCUGGGCGGCGUGAGCCGACGACUAGUGCAACAGAGAGUAUACCGCCGAUGGCUGCUUGCAGUACAGGUAAGGGUGAAAGGGUGCGGUAAGAGCGCACCGCGCGGCUGGCAACAGUUCGUGGCACGGUAAACUCCACUCGGAGCAAGAUCAAAUAGGGUUCCAUAUGGCGCGGCCCGCGUUGGAACCGGGUAGAUUGCUUGAGCCUUACAGCAAUGUAAGGCCUAGACGAAUGAUUGCCGCUUUGUUUUCAAAGCACAGAACCCGGCUUACAAGCUGUCUUUUUCC